UGCCAUAACAGCGCGAAGCGAGACUUUGAAAUAGAAUUGAUUUUUAAAUUGUCGGAGGAAGAACUAGAUAGCGAAAUAUCAAGCGUUCGUGUAGUACCUGAGCUAGAUGAAAAUUCGGGGCCGGCUAAAAUAGUCUUGUUUCCUGGUAUUGAAGGAUUUGCCAAUGUAUUUGGAAACCUUACGAACGUGCUAGACGGUGCCGUGGCCUUACAAUAUCCAGCAGAUGGCCGAACUCUCACUGUCUCAAAGAUCGUAGAAUCUCUAGCGCCUGUGGUAGCGAAGCUGUUGACAAAAGAUGAACCUUCACGAUUGUGGGUUAUUCCUUCGGUGUGCUAAUAGCAGCGGAAAUAGUCAACAUAUUAGAAAGUAAAGGUUACACGGGAACUAUGAUAUGUAUAGACGGUGCGCCCCUUGUUUUGAAGACUUUAAUAAAGAAUUUGACUGAGGAAUCUGACCAUCUCCUGCAGAUUACUUUAAUUUUCCAAUUAUUAUGCCGCUGUAUACCGCAUGGUGAAGUUGCUAAACAUAAGAUGAAUAUAUGUAAAUGCUAAAGGUGGGAAGACAAGGUAAAUCUUGCAGUCGAUUUGGUUAAAAAAUACGCUCCGAUCAAGGCGAGCUAACUAGGAAUGGCUGCCAACACCAUCUACAAGCGGAUGA
Molecule: long non-coding RNA, 657 nt
Organism: Anoplophora glabripennis (Asian longhorned beetle)
Lineage: Eukaryota; Metazoa; Arthropoda; Insecta; Coleoptera; Cerambycidae
Exons: 3
Source: RefSeq, a predicted model, not a curated record